AGUGAACGCUGGCGGUAGGCCUAACACAUGCAAGUCGAACGGCAGCACAGUAAGAGCUUGCUCUUACGGGUGGCGAGUGGCGGACGGGUGAGGAAUACAUCGGAAUCUACUUUUUCGUGGGGGAUAACGUAGGGAAACUUACGCUAAUACCGCAUACGACCUACGGGUGAAAGCAGGGGAUCUUCGGACCUUGCGCGAUUGAAUGAGCCGAUGUCGGAUUAGCUAGUUGGCGGGGUAAAGGCCCACCAAGGCGACGAUCCGUAGCUGGUCUGAGAGGAUGAUCAGCCACACUGGAACUGCGACACGGUCCAGACUCCUACGGGAGGCAGCAGUGGGGAAUAUUGGACAAUGGGCGCAGGCCUGAUCCAGCCAUACCGCGUGGGUGAAGAAGGCCUUCGGGUUGUAAAGCCCUUUUGUUGGGAAAGAAAAGCAGCAGGUUAAUACCCCGCUGUUCUGACGGUACCCAAAGAAUAAGCACCGGCUAACUUCGUG
Molecule: ribosomal RNA, 492 nt
Filed under: uncultured bacterium
Lineage: Bacteria
Description: partial 16S ribosomal RNA
Rfam family: Bacterial small subunit ribosomal RNA
Source: RNAcentral